AGUCUGGUGCCAGCAGCCGCGGUAAUUCCAGCUCCAGUAGCGUAUGCUAAAGUUGUUGCAGUUAAAAAGCUCGUAGUUGGAUUUCUGGCGUGAGAACGCUGGCCCGCCGGGGUUACCCGUGUGAGUGCCGGCUGUUCUCUGCCAUCCUUCUAGAGAACGCGUCUGCCUUUCAUUAGGUCGGGCGCGCAAUCUAGAUCAUUUACUUUGAGAAAAUUAGAGUGUUUAAAGCAGGCUUGCGCUAUGAAUACAUUAGCAUGGAAUAAUAAUAUAGGGCUUCGGUUCUAUUUUGUUGGUUUCUAGGACUGAAGUAAUGAUUGAUAGGGAUAGUUGGGGGUGCUAGUAUUCAGCGGCCAGAGGUGAAAUUCUUGGAUUCGCUGAAGACUAACUACUGCGAAAGCAUUCACCAAGGAUGUCUUCUUUAAUCAAGAACGAAAGUUGGGGGAUCGAAGACGAUCAGAUACCGUCGUAGUCUCAACCAUAAACUAUGCCGACUAGGGAUUAGUGAACGUUGCAUUUACGACUUCAUUAGCACCUUAUGAGAAAUCAAAGUUUUUGGGUUCCGGGGGGAGUAUGGUCGCAAGGCUGAAACUUGAAGGAAUUGACGGAAGGGCACCACCAGGAAUGGAGCCUGCGGCUUAAUUUGACCCAACACGGGGAAACUUACCAGGUCCAGACAUAGUGAGGAUUGACAGAUUGAAGAUCUUUCUUGAUUCUAUGGGUGUGGUGCAUGGCCGUUCUUAGUUGGUGGAGUGAUUUGUCUGGUUAAUUCCGUUAACCAACGAGACCUCGACCUGCUAAAUAGUGUGGCGAUUCCUCCGGGAAUCGAACAAACUUCUUAGAGGGACUAUCGGUGUGUAGCCGGUGGAAGUUCGAGGCAAUAACAGGUCUGUGAUGCCCUUCGAUGUUCUGGGCCGCACGCGCGCUACACUGACACGUUCAACAAGUUUACAACCUUGGGUGAGAGCUCCGGGUAAUCUCUGAAAACGUGUCGUGCUGGGGAUAGAUUAUUGCAAUUUUUAAUCUUAAACGAGGAAUUCCUAGUAAACGCAAGUCAUCAGCUUGCAUUGAUUACGUCCCUGCCCUUUGUACACACCGCCCGUCGCUACUACCGAUUGGAUGGCUUAGUGAGUACCACGGAUCGUCACCCUUAGCGGGGUUUCUCGCUUUGGGUGCUGAAAAGUGGUUCAAACUUGAUCAUCUAGAGGAAGUAAAAGUCGUAACAAGGU
RNAcentral lists this ribosomal RNA (1226 nucleotides) under metagenome. RNAcentral's name for it is "SSU rRNA". It matches the Rfam family "Eukaryotic small subunit ribosomal RNA", at positions 558 to 1800 of the family's 1831-position model. The record is from RNAcentral.